This is an RNA transcript of Haliotis rubra (blacklip abalone), 1158 nucleotides long. RefSeq lists it as uncharacterized. The record is from RefSeq and is a predicted model, not a curated record. The transcript has 6 exons. NCBI's taxonomy places the organism in Eukaryota, Metazoa, Mollusca, Gastropoda, Lepetellida, Haliotidae.
CAGUGGAGGACCAAUGGGAGGAUCUGGAUCUAUGAGAGGAAACAGCCUGAUGAACAUGAUGUCCAACCCAAUGACUCUGUUGAUGAUGAAUGCCUUUGGGAUCGAUCCUCCAGACCUCCCAGCAGCAAAUGCACGUGGGGGAGCGGCCGGUAGCCAGGCGGGAGGGUUCCUAUCAGCUCUUUUCGGCAACACCCAACCACAACCCCGGGUAUCCAACUCCUGGUCUUCUGCUGUCUUCGACCCUGUUCUUCCGGCCGGGGCUGGACCUAACGCCAACGAUCCUUUCGGCCUCGGGACUGCGGCUGUUUGAUUAUCCAAAUGAUGUGGACGACAUGGACUUGAGACCCUAACGCAGGAUUAUUGGCUGCUUCUUUUCUGAUGUGAGACCGUGGUAAACAACGCAGAACAACGUACAGGCACAACAUAUGACAAUCAACAGAACCGCAGACAGAUUCUUCUAGGGCUGGCUAACGAUAUAGAUCAUAAUCGUUAUCUAGAUUACUAUCGAUCGACUAUCGAUAAAUAUCGGAGACGUAACUUUGAGUAAAAUGCACAAGAAAAUCUGCAAGAAAUGAAUAUAUUUCACGUCAAUGGUGAUUGGAGAAAUGUUUAUUCAUGGGUUACUAUGGGAACAGCGUCCUGAACAUACUUUAGAAGCAGACCAUGAAUAAAGACCUAACUGGGUCUGUUGUGUGAGUCAAUUAAAACGUAAUUUAUCAAAAAGGUGUAUGAACGAUAUAAUCGAAUACACUAUUUUCAUAUCGACAAUCAUUACUAUUUUUCCUAUCGAAGGUAUUGCCGAUUACCGAUCUUUUCAGCCAGCCCUAGAUCCACCACAGAAGUGACGCCAUAUGGAUUAAAUAUUGAUAUUAUGGUUUUAUUUGACAAGAGCGAUAAUUCCUCACAUUCGGAAUUAUACUUUGUUGAACAAAUGCUAUCUACUCUCAGCCACUGGCAAUACUUAGUUAAUACUUAUAGGGGUCUGUACUUGAAACUUGUUCAUCAACAUAUACUUCUAGUCCAACUAUGUCUAUGGUUUUGGUCUCCAAAGCUUAAAAUUGUUUCAUUCUCUGUAACUGCGUUAUAUUUGACCAUCAAUACAUGUGAUCUUGACUUGUUCGAACCAUUUUUCCCCUUAAUAAAAUUGUAAAACAGUGA